CAGAGCUAUCUACGAAAGAUCAUGUAGGCCUGAGAUGUCUUAGAAACUUUUAUGAGCAAUGAUUUCUUCAAGAAAAUAUUAUAUGUUAAAACUUGGCCAUGACUUUUUUUUCUUUUUUUAAAGGUGGAAGGAAUCUAAAGAACUGGAUACAGGUGGACUUGUCUGCUGUGUGUUCACAGAUGUAUUCACUGACUAGUACUGCAAAUGCUCCACCUAUAAACCUUGCAGAAGAUACCACAAUUGAUUUACUGUGGGACUGAGAGGUUGUCCAUGAGAUAGUGAAUGCAACUGUACAGCCAUCAAGAAUACAAGAGAAGUAUCCAAAAAUGUAAUAAAGAUAUAAAUGGCAUCUUUUUAUUUCA
RNAcentral lists this long non-coding RNA (362 nucleotides) under Anas platyrhynchos platyrhynchos (common mallard). RNAcentral describes it as "lncRNA (ENSAPLG00000023819.1)". Lineage: Eukaryota; Metazoa; Chordata; Aves; Anseriformes; Anatidae. The record is from RNAcentral.